RNAcentral lists this non-coding RNA (859 nucleotides) under Pan troglodytes (chimpanzee). Lineage: Eukaryota; Metazoa; Chordata; Mammalia; Primates; Hominidae. The record is from RNAcentral.
UGUCAUAGUGUUGGCUUCUAGUGCAGUGAGCCCCUUUUGCUGGAUAACACUACCUGGUAAUUUGACAUACUAGGUGGUUAGUAACUACUGACUGUCUCCAGGUUACAACACAGUUAUUACCUACUUGGGUGAAAAGAGAAGACAGGAAAUACAUUUUGGAGUUGGCUGGCAACCUGUUUACAAAGCGAUUUACAACAGUUCUUUAUUCUUAAGGGGCUAUUCUAAUAUAAGACCUCAGAGAAACAGUGCAGUGUGACAAAGGAGGAAUUUAUCAAAUGAGACAGAAAAAGCAUCAAGGCAAGCUGUGAAAUGGUGCGGUAGGAACCAAAUAGAGAGCCAAAGGAUCUCUCUGUCACUGCAGGCCCUUAGGGAUCCCAGGUGAUUCACAGAGUUUGAGAUGGACAGCUCUAGAACCUUGCUGUGCUCCGGUAACCUCAGCAGCACCUUGUUAGAAAUGCAGAAGUUCAGGCCCCACCCAAAGCUGCUAAAUCAGGAUCUGCACUCUAUCAAGAUCUCCGUCUCCGGAGGAUUCCUAGGAACAUUCCAGUUUGAGAAGCACUGCUCCAGGUCAUAUGACAGGCAAGGUCAUCUCCCGAAUGAGAGGGAGAGAGGAAAGAGUUGAAGGCAAAAAUUCAAAGAGCAAGCUAAUGAAGAACGGGUAAAAGAAUUGACAGGUGGCCACUGCCAAAAGCCCAGAAGAGGUCACAGACAAUCUGCCACCUUGCCAAUUACUUUGGAUACAAAGAUAACGAAGUGAAGCUUCUCUGCCUUCACUCUUACAUUUGGACAAAAGACUUUCUAUUACUAUGCAGUAUGCAAUGCUUUGAUUCGAGCAUCCUUAUGUAAAAAAUAAAAUAGA